This 536-nucleotide ribosomal RNA is filed under the name uncultured bacterium. Its description in RNAcentral is "bacterial SSU rRNA". It matches the Rfam family "Bacterial small subunit ribosomal RNA", at positions 791 to 1332 of the family's 1533-position model. The record is from RNAcentral.
UAGUCCACGCCGUAAACGAUGGUCACUAGUUGUUGGGGCUUUAUGCCUCAGUGAUUAAGCGAAAGUGAUAAGUGACCCACCUGGGGAGUACGAUCGCAAGAUUGAAACUCAAAGGAAUUGACGGGGGCCCGCACAAGCGGUGGAGCAUGUGGUUUAAUUCGAUGAUACGCGAGGAACCUUACCAGGGCUUAAAUGUAAGUUGCAUAGACCAGAGAUGGUCUUUUCUUCGGACUACUUACAAGGUGCUGCAUGGUUGUCGUCAGCUCGUGCCGUGAGGUGUCAGGUUAAGUCCUAUAACGAGCGCAACCCCUACCGUUAGUUGCCAGCAAGUAAAGUUGGGGACUCUAGCGGGACUGCCGGUGCAAACCGAGAGGAAGGUGGGGAUGACGUCAAAUCAUCACGGCCCUUACGUCCUGGGCUACACACGUGCUACAAUGAAAACUACAACAAGUAACUAAAAUAUAAUUUUCGUUAAUCUUAUAAAAGUUUUCUCAGUUCGGAUUGUAAUCUGCAACUCGAUUACAUAAAGUUGGAAU